This is a non-coding RNA of Coffea arabica (coffee), 1397 nucleotides long. The record is from RefSeq and is a predicted model, not a curated record. NCBI's taxonomy places the organism in Eukaryota, Viridiplantae, Streptophyta, Magnoliopsida, Gentianales, Rubiaceae.
UCGGCUAAUCUUCAAUCUACUCUUCACAGUUCAGUGAGUUCACUCCACUACUCCAGUCUUUGGCUCUUCGCCUCCUCGCCGUCUUCAGUCUUCCUGCUUGGCUGCUGCCGCUGCUUUUGCCGACUGCUCGGCUUCCUGCUUUUGCCGACUCCUUGGCUUCUCAGUCAACUACUCCAGUCUUUGGCGUCUUCGGUCUUCCUGCUUGGCUGCUCUUGCGGACUUGCCGAUUUGCCGUCGGUGCUCAGCACGAAGUUUUAUCUUAACAAGAAGCAAGCAAAGGAGAACAUAUUGUUACAUGGCAUUCAGAGGGCGAGGGCGAGGACGUGGUGGCUUUGGUGGUGGUGGUUUUCGUGCUGCUAAGCAAGAAAAAUUUGAUCUCUUUCCGGAAAUCGAGGAACUAGGAACUGCAGAAGGUGUGAAAGUUGAUCCAUCCUUUGCUGUUUGGUAUAGUAAAUUUCAGAGAUACUGGAACUCUUCUCCCUAUUAUGUUGAAGAUGAAAGUGGAGGUGCAAAGAAAAGUCAAAGCACCGAAAUAGAAAAGUAUUCAGACAGGAAGUCUAAAAAAAAAAGUUCAAAACAGCCACUCUCACACUUCAUAAGAAUGGAGCCUGACUAUGUUCCUGCCGAGCUAGCUAAAGGUGAGAAGAAGGAGAAGCAUGGUGCCAAAAGAGUGAGAUGGAACCCCGAAGCAGACAUGAAGAAGUUGGAUGUCUUUGAAAAGCUUGAGCAGAAGCAUCAGGUAACAAUGCUACUGCUUGUACUCAGCACUGCUUUCCUUCUUUCAGCAGGAACGAAAGAAAGUGAUCUCCUUAUUCAGUGGCACAAUAGAAGGUCAAGAAAUAAAUGAGAAGGAGGAUGAAGAGGAAGAAGAUGAAAAACUAGAAGAAGAAGAGGAGGAGUAUAGUGACGAUGGCGAUUAUAAUCAGAACAUUGAUUUUGAUGAUGAUGAAGACGACUUUAACAUGGGCGAUGAUAAUGAUGAUGAACCAGAACUAUAGAUGAUGUAUUUGUAAAUGACCUAUCUGGCCUCCUCCCAGAUGGCACCAAUUUUGCAGAAAAAAAAAAUCCUUUUUCCUUUUGUAUAAAGCCAGAAGGGAUUCACGAAAUUUUACUCUUUCAAGAUUUGACAGUUCCAGUUUUCAGCGGUGACAUGACAUCCUUCUCUCUGGUUUUUUAGACAUGUACGGUUCUCUCGCGGUUGCAAGUUCUUGGAGUUGGGAGGGAGCUGGAGCUUUGCUUCAUUUUUGAUAGCAUAAAAUUGCAUCUUGAAGUACUCCAAAUACAUUCUUAAGAAGCACCCCUUCCCCCCUUUUUUUCCUUUCUUAAUUCUGAUGUUGGACAUUGGCUUUUUGUCAUUACUGAAGCGUCUCAUGUGAAUACCCUAUAUGCGUUGUAGC